ACCGCAUGGUUCAAUAGUGAAAGACGGUUUUGCUGUCACUUAUAGAUGGAUCCGCGCCGCAUUAGCUAGUUGGUAAGGUAACGGCUUACCAAGGCAACGAUGCGUAGCCGACCUGAGAGGGUGAUCGGCCACACUGGAACUGAGACACGGUCCAGACUCCUACGGGAGGCAGCAGUAGGGAAUCUUCCGCAAUGGGCGAAAGCCUGACGGAGCAACGCCGCGUGAGUGAUGAAGGUCUUCGGAUCGUAAAACUCUGUUAUUAGGGAAGAACAAAUGUGUAAGUAACUAUGCACGUCUUGACGGUACCUAAUCAGAAAGCCACGGCUAA
RNAcentral lists this ribosomal RNA (328 nucleotides) under Staphylococcus epidermidis. Its description in RNAcentral is "bacterial SSU rRNA". It matches the Rfam family "Bacterial small subunit ribosomal RNA", at positions 185 to 500 of the family's 1533-position model. The record is from RNAcentral. Lineage: Bacteria; Bacillati; Bacillota; Bacilli; Caryophanales; Staphylococcaceae.